AGAGUGAACGCUGGCGGCAGGCCUAACACAUGCAAGUCGAGCGGUAGAGAGGUGCUUGCACCUCUUGAGAGCGGCGGACGGGUGAGUAAUGCCUAGGAAUCUGCCUAGUGGUGGGGGAUAACGUUCGGAAACGGACGCUAAUACCGCAUACGUCCUACGGGAGAAAGCGGGGGACCUUCGGGCCUCGCGCCAUUAGAUGAGCCUAGGUCGGAUUAGCUAGUUGGUGAGGUAAUGGCUCACCAAGGCGACGAUCCGUAACUGGUCUGAGAGGAUGAUCAGUCACACUGGAACUGAGACACGGUCCAGACUCCUACGGGAGGCAGCAGUGGGGAAUA
This 335-nucleotide ribosomal RNA is filed under the name uncultured soil bacterium. RNAcentral describes it as "bacterial SSU rRNA". It matches the Rfam family "Bacterial small subunit ribosomal RNA", at positions 26 to 363 of the family's 1533-position model. The record is from RNAcentral.